UACAGGGGGGGCAAGCGUUGUUCGGAAUUACUGGGCGUAAAGCGCACGUAGGCGGCUUUGCAAGUUAGAGGUGAAAGCCCGGGGCUCAACUCCGGAAUUGCCUUUAAAACUGCAUCGCUAGAAUUGUGGAGAGGUAAGUGGAAUUCCGAGUGUAGAGGUGAAAUUCGUAGAUAUUCGGAAGAACACCAGUGGCGAAGGCGACUUACUGGACACAUAUUGACGCUGAGGUGCGAAAGCGUGGGGAGCAAACAGG
RNAcentral lists this ribosomal RNA (253 nucleotides) under uncultured bacterium. Its description in RNAcentral is "partial 16S ribosomal RNA". It matches the Rfam family "Bacterial small subunit ribosomal RNA", at positions 524 to 776 of the family's 1533-position model. The record is from RNAcentral.